AGUGAACGCUGGCGGUAGGCCUAACACAUGCAAGUCGAACGGCAGCACAGUAAGAGCUUGCUCUUACGGGUGGCGAGUGGCGGGCGGGUGAGGAAUACAUCGGAAUCUACUUUUUCGUGGGGGAUAACGUAGGGAAACUUACGCUAAUACCGCAUACGACCUACGGGUGAAGGCAGGGGAUCUUCGGACCUUUCGCGAUUGAAUGAGCCGAUGUCGGAUUAGCUAGUUGGCGGGGUAAAGGCCCACCAAGGCGACGAUCCGUAGCUGGUCUGAGAGGAUGAUCAGCCACACUGGAACUGAGACACGGUCCAGACUCCUACGGGAGGCAGCAGUGGGGAAUAUUGGACAAUGGGCGCAAGCCUGAUCCAGCAAUACCGCGUGGGUGAAGAAGGCCUUCGGGUUGUAAAGCCCUUUUGUUGGGAAAGAAAAGCAGCAGGUUAAUACCCCGCUGUUCUGACGGUACCCAAAGAAUAAGCACCGGCUAACUUCGUG
RNAcentral lists this ribosomal RNA (492 nucleotides) under uncultured bacterium. RNAcentral's name for it is "partial 16S ribosomal RNA". It matches the Rfam family "Bacterial small subunit ribosomal RNA", at positions 29 to 507 of the family's 1533-position model. The record is from RNAcentral.